UACGUAGGGUGCAAGCGUUGUCCGGAAUUAUUGGGCGUAAAGAGCUCGUAGGCGGUUUGUCGCGUCUGCUGUGAAAACCCGAGGCUCAACCUCGGGCCUGCAGUGGGUACGGGCAGACUAGAGUGCGGUAGGGGAGAUUGGAAUUCCUGGUGUAGCGGUGGAAUGCGCAGAUAUCAGGAGGAACACCAAUGGCGAAGGCAGAUCUCUGGGCCGUAACUGACGCUGAGGAGCGAAAGCUAGGGGAGC
RNAcentral lists this ribosomal RNA (246 nucleotides) under uncultured bacterium. Its description in RNAcentral is "partial 16S ribosomal RNA". It matches the Rfam family "Bacterial small subunit ribosomal RNA", at positions 524 to 769 of the family's 1533-position model. The record is from RNAcentral.